Molecule: small RNA, 127 nt
Filed under: Marmota monax (woodchuck)
Lineage: Eukaryota; Metazoa; Chordata; Mammalia; Rodentia; Sciuridae
Source: RNAcentral
GCCAGGCACGGUGGCGCAGGCCUGUAAUCCCAGCAGCUCAGGAGGCUGAGGCAGGAAGAUUGCAAGUUCAAAGCCAGCCUCAGCAACUUAGCAAGGCACUUAGCAACUCAGCAAGACCCUCUCUCUA